AAGCUCGUAGUUGAAUUCCGGGGUUAGUAGGUUGGUCAUGCCUCUGGUAUGUACUGGUCUCACUGAUUCCUCCUUCCUUAUGAACCGUAAUGCCAUUAAUUUGGUGUUGCGGGGAAUUUGGACUGUUACUUUGAAAAAAUUAGAGUGUUUAAAAGCAAGCUAACGCUUGAGUACAUUAGCAUGGAAUAAUGAAAUAGGACGUUCGAUCUUAUUUUGUUGGUUUCUAGGAUUGACGUAAUGAUUAAUAGGGAUAGUUGGG
RNAcentral lists this ribosomal RNA (259 nucleotides) under uncultured Glomus. RNAcentral describes it as "partial 18S ribosomal RNA". It matches the Rfam family "Eukaryotic small subunit ribosomal RNA", at positions 624 to 886 of the family's 1831-position model. The record is from RNAcentral. Lineage: Eukaryota; Fungi; Glomeromycota; Glomeromycetes; Glomerales; Glomeraceae.